Molecule: transfer RNA, 71 nt
Filed under: Achromatium sp. WMS2
Lineage: Bacteria; Pseudomonadati; Pseudomonadota; Gammaproteobacteria; Thiotrichales; Thiotrichaceae
Rfam family: tRNA
About the family: Transfer RNA (tRNA) molecules are approximately 80 nucleotides in length. Their secondary structure includes four short double-helical elements and three loops (D, anti-codon, and T loops).
Source: Rfam by way of RNAcentral
GGCUGGGUAGCAAAGUGGCCAUGCAGCGGCCUGCAAAGCCGUCUACGCCGGUUCAAAUCCGGUCCCAGCCU